Molecule: ribosomal RNA, 407 nt
Filed under: Clostridioides difficile
Lineage: Bacteria; Bacillati; Bacillota; Clostridia; Peptostreptococcales; Peptostreptococcaceae
Description: bacterial SSU rRNA
Rfam family: Bacterial small subunit ribosomal RNA
Source: RNAcentral
CACUCUAGAGAGACUGCCAGGGAUAACCUGGAGGAAGGUGGGGAUGACGUCAAAUCAUCAUGCCCCUUAUGCUUAGGGCUACACACGUGCUACAAUGGGUAGUACAGAGGGUUGCCAAGCCGUAAGGCGGAGCUAAUCCCUUAAAGCUACUCUCAGUUCGGAUUGUAGGCUGAAACUCGCCUACAUGAAGCUGGAGUUACUAGUAAUCGCAGAUCAGAAUGCUGCGGUGAAUGCGUUCCCGGGGCUUGUACACACCGCCCGUCACACCACGGGAGUUGGAGACGCCCGAAGCCGAUUAUCUAACCUUUUGGAAGAAGUCGUCGAAGGUGGAAUCAAUAACUGGGGUGAAGUCGUAACAAGGUAGCCGUAUCGGAAGGUGAGGCUGGAUCACCUCCUUUCUAAGGAGA